Peromyscus californicus insignis is the source of this 1559-nucleotide long non-coding RNA. RefSeq lists it as uncharacterized. The record is from RefSeq and is a predicted model, not a curated record. The transcript has 2 exons. NCBI's taxonomy places the organism in Eukaryota, Metazoa, Chordata, Mammalia, Rodentia, Cricetidae.
CUAUGACGUAGAUCCUGUGUGCUGGUCUGCGGCGUGGGGUUGGGACAGUCCCGUGAAAACCAAUAAAAUGAUCAGGCGUGGUUGGUGAGCGAAGGGUACGGACGGGGUAGCCGCCCUCUGGCCACGCUUCGGUCAGCACCCCGCGCUGCCUGGGCACAGCCGCCAGGGGGCGCGGUCCCCCACCAGCCGGUCGCCCGCGCUGCCAAGUGGCCAGAGUGGGACCUCUGCCCAGCGCAGUGGCAGCUGCUGUGCCUCGGGCUCCUAAGGCCAGCCGGGGAGGCUCCAGCGAUGCUGCUAGAAUUCGUGAACAAACCGUCCCUCCUGCUUUGCAGACGGAGCCCAGGACGACCCUGAGGGUUUAAGUUUUCCCUCACUGGACAUAAUUUCUUAUCCUCCACCGCUACGGAAAUUCUAGAGGACAGAAGCCAGGACGACUCUGGGCGUUAUUUGUAAAGCUCGGGUGCAUCUGAAGGCCUAAUAAUUAAACCUAGGCUUCUCGUGAGUUUGUUUUGGUGCUUUCAUCGACGAGAACUUUCUGUUGGUUACCGCUGCUCCUUUUCGGGUGUAGGGAGAAAAGAUUCCUACUUUUCAUUUUUAACUGACUACCUCACCCGCAAUAGUGACGCUUGAGAACACCUCAUAGAGUUACUGCAAAACUCACAUGUGCCGGGGGAGGGGCGCAUGUGAGGAAGAUGCCACAGUGUCUCCUGCGGUAUCUAAAUGGCAACACUGGAUUAUAUUUCUCUACACUGUGUGUGCUUGGAAUUACUGUUAAUGAAAUACUUAGAUACACAAGUGUCAAGUCAGCUGGGAGUGCUGGCAACCAUGUGAUCUCAGCUCUUGGGAGGUGGAGAAAGGAAGAUAAGUUCCAGAUAUACUGGGCUACAAGAGAGACCCUUUUAAAUUUUAAUUAAUAUUUUUUAAAGUAUGAACAUAGUAAAAGAUCAUGAAGACUUGACUGGCCAGUGAAUGAACAUGUAAAAUCGUGGUUCAAGGAAUUGUUACCACUCAUUAUCCUGUCUGAAUUUAUUUCACCCCAACUUCUAUAAUUGUAUAUGCACAUGACAUUGGGAAUCCAGCGCUGGUUGAGACCCUUUCAAAAGAUCAUUCCUUCGAGCCGGAUUCGAACCAGCGACCUAAGGAUUACUAUACAAACCUACAGUCCUCCGCUCUACCAACUGAGCUAUCGAAGGAAGAUACCUGUACAUUCUUUAAGGUUUAUAAACUAGCUGGUGGAUUUGUUGCAGUUCGACUGAUACAUUUUAAAAUAGAUUGUAAGGUGUGGGAGCCCGUUCUCAGGUUCCUCGUGGCUUUACCCAGCAUGUCCGCAUAGAGGAUGAUUAGGACCACGGGCCUGAGUGCAGGUGUCUGAGAUGGUCUGCACUUGGCUGUGCUGGGGGAGGAGGUCUUUUGCUCCACCCCUUGGCGUCUCUAUAAAAACCCUGGGGCAGAGACAGUCGGGGCAGUUGGAAUAGGUUCCAGGCCCUCUCGAGGCUAUCCUUUAUUUUCUAUCUGUUUAUCUCUGCAAUAUUCUCCGCAAUAAAUCCUUCUGUCUAAUA